RNAcentral lists this long non-coding RNA (708 nucleotides) under Rattus norvegicus (Norway rat). RNAcentral's name for it is "long non-coding RNA NONRATT004133". Lineage: Eukaryota; Metazoa; Chordata; Mammalia; Rodentia; Muridae. The record is from RNAcentral.
CUGGAGAGCAAUUUUCAAGUUGUAGGUUCGUGUUCCUAUGACAGGGAAAUGGAGAAGAAAAAUAUUUUUAAAAAGUCACUAAGCUCUUCCCGGGCCUCAGAGCAGAGUUUAAAUGCCUCCUGUCCCCAUGGCGUAACCAGCUAUUAGGGGGAAAGCCAGGGUUCUGGCAACCUCCAAUAUGCCGAGGAACACUGAGAAGCAGAAAAGGGGGAUUUAUUCAUUGCGGCCACACUGGGAAGAAGAGAGAAAAAGGAGAUUACCAGCCUUGGCAAGUCCCCAGUAGACACCAGCAGGCUUACAGGUCUCUAGACAUAGCCCCAUGCCUUCCAACCAGUAGCUUCCAAAAACAGAAGCUGAAACUUCAGGACGCUUGCUCGCUGGGCCCUGAGAUUCCAACAUCUGUUACCUCUGCAGAAGCGGAUCAGGAGUCAGAGGUAGGACAUUCUUCUACUGGAGGGGAUGUAAGAGAACAGGGCCCAGCAGAAUCAAGGUUAACCUGGAAGAUAACCUAAUGGCAGAGAGCGUGUCCCAACCUGUAACAAAAUGAAGCCUGCAGCCUCCAAAAGCAAGAGAAGAAUGGUCAUGCACAGGACUCACUCAGCUCGUAAAGGGCUUUCCUAGAUCCUGACCUUCCUGAACUCUCCUACUCUUCUGCUCUCGGGGACGCUUUUUGCUGUGUUAAUAAACUAUUGCUGUCCCUGUGUCCCC